UUUAAUUCGAUGCAACCCGAAGAACCUUACCUACCCUUGACAUCCUUGGAAGGAUGCAGAGAUGCAUUUGUGCCGAAAGGAACCAAGAGACAGGUGCUGCAUGGCUGUCGUCAGCUCGUGUCGUGAGAUGUUGGGUUAAGUCCCGUAACGAGCGCAACCCUUAUCCUUUGUUGCCAUCAGGUAAUGCUGGGAACUUAAGGGAGACUGCCGGUGAUAAACCGGAGGAGGGUGGGGACGACGUCAAGUCAUCAUGGCCUUUAUGGGUAGGGCUACACACGUGCUACAAUGGGACAUACAGAGGGAAGCCAACCCGCGAGGGGGAGCCAAUCCUUUAAAAUGUCUCGUAGUCCGGAUUGGAGUCUGCAACUCGACUCCAUGAAGUUGGAAUCGCUAGUAAUCGCGAAUCAGCAAGUCG
Molecule: ribosomal RNA, 415 nt
Filed under: uncultured bacterium
Lineage: Bacteria
Description: bacterial SSU rRNA
Rfam family: Bacterial small subunit ribosomal RNA
Source: RNAcentral